AUUUUCACUUGGCACCCUUAAUAAUCCAUAUAAUUUAGGAGUAUUUGGAAUAUCACAUCGCUUGCGACAAAUGAGUCACUUGCGGAAAGUGAAACAUUUUAGUGAAUUGUCGAAACAGGGAAUAACGGAGAUGAUCCCAUUAUCACACUCACUGACGUGAAUCCCCUGCACCGCUGCCAGCAAUGCCGACCCUGGGACAGGGAGGCAUGUGCGCGUGAAAUUCUCAUAUUAAAUAAACUCAAUGAUUUCCUAGAGUAUCAAGAUGAAUGGAAAAAACGAUCGAAGAAGGUUAAAAAGGGCCUGGAUCCAAAUUUAUUUCCUGCUCUUCCUGUAACUACGCAAAUGGACCUCCUACAACUCAAUCAGGAUUUAACUGAGAGUGAUACGCAUCGUGAUGAGCUAAUUCACUGGAAGAUGUAGGGGGAGACUAUAAACAAUUGGUGAACAAAGCAAUGAGCAAAGUGAUGACUAAUGAUGUAGGCCGUGUCUGUUGUUGGAAUGGUAUAACUCAAGGAUCAUUAAAAUUCCAAGGGACUACAGUGGCGGCUGCUGUACUGGAGGUAGUGAAGGAAAGAUACAAAGAACUUAACACGUUUUAUACCAAUGAGGCAAUUGGGCUCGCUAAAUAAGAAAACGCCACCUAGGGUCUAAGGCGCAUGGGCACUCACACACACAACACAACCAAAUUUUGGGUUUCUGUAGGCGCGUAUAUGAGUGCCGAAGAU
Long non-coding RNA from Diachasma alloeum, 725 nucleotides. RefSeq lists it as uncharacterized. The transcript has 5 exons. Lineage: Eukaryota; Metazoa; Arthropoda; Insecta; Hymenoptera; Braconidae. The record is from RefSeq and is a predicted model, not a curated record.